Molecule: ribosomal RNA, 744 nt
Filed under: uncultured bacterium
Lineage: Bacteria
Description: bacterial SSU rRNA
Rfam family: Bacterial small subunit ribosomal RNA
Source: RNAcentral
AGAGUUUGAUCCUGGCUCAGAGCGAACGCUGGCGGCAGGCUUAACACAUGCAAGUCGAGCGGAUGUAGCAAUACAUCAGCGGCAGACGGGUGAGUAACACGUGGGAACGUACCUUUUGGUUCGGAACAACACAGGGAAACUUGUGCUAAUACCGGAUAAGCCCUUACGGGGAAAGAUUUAUCGCCGAAAGAUCGGCCCGCGUCUGAUUAGCUAGUUGGUGAGGUAACGGCUCACCAAGGCGACGAUCAGUAGCUGGUCUGAGAGGAUGAUCAGCCACAUUGGGACUGAGACACGGCCCAAACUCCUACGGGAGGCAGCAGUGGGGAAUAUUGGACAAUGGGCGCAAGCCUGAUCCAGCCAUGCCGCGUGAGUGAUGAAGGCCCUAGGGUUGUAAAGCUCUUUUGUGCGGGAAGAUAAUGACGGUACCGCAAGAAUAAGCCCCGGCUAACUUCGUGCCAGCAGCCGCGGUAAUACGAAGGGGGCUAGCGUUGCUCGGAAUCACUGGGCGUAAAGGGUGCGUAGGCGGGUCUUUAAGUCAGGGGUGAAAUCCUGGAGCUCAACUCCAGAACUGCCUUUGAUACUGAAGAUCUUGAGUUCGGGAGAGGUGAGUGGAACUGCGAGUGUAGAGGUGAAAUUCGUAGAUAUUCGCAAGAACACCAGUGGCGAAGGCGGCUCACUGGCCCGAUACUGACGCUGAGGCACGAAAGCGUGGGGAGCAAACAGGAUUAGAUACCCCCGUAGUCC